GAGUUUGAUCCUGGCUCAGAACGAACGCUGGCGGCAUGCCUAACACAUGCAAGUCGAACGAACUCUUCGGAGUUAGUGGCGCACGGGUGCGUAACGCGUGGGAAUCUGCCCUUGGGUACGGAAUAACUCAGAGAAAUUUGUGCUAAUACCGUAUAAUGACUCCGGUCCAAAGAUUUAUCGCCCAAGGAUGAGCCCGCGUAAGAUUAGCUAGUUGGUGGGGUAAAGGCCUACCAAGGCUACGAUCUUUAGCUGGUCUGAGAGGAUGAUCAGCCACACUGGGACUGAGACACGGCCCAGACUCCUACGGGAGGCAGCAGUGGGGAAUAUUGGACAAUGGGCGAAAGCCUGAUCCAGCAAUGCCGCGUGAGUGAUGAAGGCCUUAGGGUUGUAAAGCUCUUUACCCGGGUAUGAUAAUGACAGUACCGGG
This 427-nucleotide ribosomal RNA is filed under the name uncultured microorganism. RNAcentral describes it as "bacterial SSU rRNA". It matches the Rfam family "Bacterial small subunit ribosomal RNA", at positions 9 to 482 of the family's 1533-position model. The record is from RNAcentral.